GGCUGGACUGAUGGUAGUAAGUUAUCAGAACUUAUUAACAUUAGUGUCACCAGAGUUGGUAUAUAACCCCCCACUGCUAAAUUUGACUGGCUUAAA
Microcebus murinus (gray mouse lemur) is the source of this 96-nucleotide unclassified non-coding RNA. It matches the Rfam family "Y RNA". Rfam says of the family: Y RNAs are components of the Ro ribonucleoprotein particle (Ro RNP), in association with Ro60 and La proteins. The Y RNAs and Ro60 and La proteins are well conserved, but the function of the Ro RNP is not known. Lineage: Eukaryota; Metazoa; Chordata; Mammalia; Primates; Cheirogaleidae. The record is from Ensembl.